RNAcentral lists this long non-coding RNA (2851 nucleotides) under Paramuricea clavata. Lineage: Eukaryota; Metazoa; Cnidaria; Anthozoa; Malacalcyonacea; Plexauridae. The record is from RNAcentral.
GAUGCACUACCUAAAAAAUAAGAACAAACUUGGACGUUUCGAGCGAAAACUCGCCUGGAUGUUUGUAUAGGCACUGGCAUAGUAUAGUUGUUUUUUACAUUCCUUAUAGAUGUCAAGAUUUCACCAAACCUACUACGAUGAAUUCGUUUCCUAUGCACGAGACAAUCUUGGCACCUCAUCAUCUUCACUUGGAAUUUCUGAACGCAGAGCUCCUUUCCGAUUUUGGAUCUCGAAAUUUGAUAGGUGGAACAAUAAAGAAACCCCUUUCACAGAUAUUGACAACCUACGAAAAGCACAUAAUAAGAGGUAUUCCGAAAUUGUACAAUCACUCAAAGAGAACGAGGUGAAAGAGGAUUUGAGAAGUACAGAAGAUGUUGCCAGUUUUGUAUGGGAGGUAAAAUUUAGUAAAACUAUAAAAGUAGACCAAGAUGUGUUCCAAGAAGACCGCUGGUACAAACCUACAUUAGAAAUCGUGCGUAAUAUAUUUGAAACUCUGCAUGAUUUGAUACGCUACUUUAGCUGUCAAUUCGUUUUCAAAUAUCAACAAAUGCGCGCAUUUCAAGGAAAAAUGACAGAAUAUCAUUAUCCUGGCCCUGGAAGGCAUUCAAACAAAGAGUUGAAGAUAUUAAAAAUCUUGGUUCAUUUCCAAGCCGUACCCGCGUACAUAUUCCAAAUAUAAUUUUUGCACUCAAAAUUUAAGACACACGAUUAUAUUUCAAAAUUACCAAACUUGAUGAUGAAACAUUUAGUGGCGAUCUGUUAAUAUUACACAUAUUAAACAGGGCCGUACGCAGGAUUUUUUCACCAGAGGGGGGGGGGGGCAGUACUAAUAUAGGCCUAUAUGCCGAAAAAAGUCCCAAAUACCCAAAGAAGAAUUAAUGUCAUACUAAAAAUCGUAAAUAUAGUUUUCUCUAGGGGGCAGUUGCCCACCGCUGUGUACGCCCCUGAUAUUAAACUGCGCUUUUAUCUUUUACAGAUGAGUAUAGCUCUAGUGUAUGCUGCUGAAGCUUACCAUACAAAAGGGGCCAUGAGGCAUGUAGUUGGUGUGAUGCAACUAAAAAAGGCGGAUAUAAAACAAGGAAUGACUGUGAUGGAUUACUGGGUUUCAAUGAUCGAGAACUGGGCUGAUGCAAAUAAAGGAUUCAGUCAUUGUGGAAAUAAAAAUGCCAAACAAUGCCUGUUGUCCAUGACAAAAUACCUUUACCGUACGUUUGAUGCCCUGAAAAUUAUCCGAAACACUUUGUACUAUUCCCCAGCCCUGAUCAAUAAACUAAAAAUAGCGUUUAAGGGUGAAAAUCCUGUAUACAACCUGCCCAGUUACCCUCAUCUUGAUAAAGCUUGUGAUCCACAGACACUAACCAAAAAUUGGGUGUCCAAUUACAAAAAUAAAGUAGGUGAAAUUCCAGAACCAGAAACAAGGUUGUUCUUAUCUUCUGUUGGUUGUUUAUCGUUAAGUCCACCACAGGCACCAAACACGGCAUUGACAAGACCCUGUAUGGACAAGAUACAAGUUAUUGUCAUGUCAUUUGAUAAUCUCCUGGUAAAGACGACUGCCAAGGACACUACACAAAAUACCGUGAUGUACAAGAAAGACGGAACACUAAAAACCGUGCCACUUCGUUUAAUGCGCAAAGAGUGAGAUCGUGUUUAACUUAAAGCAUGAUUGAAUAGUUGUACUACUACAUACAGUAUUAAGUUAAUCAGCUUAUGCUGAGAUGUUACAUCUUUACUGAUAAUUAAAUUACCAAAAGGUUGUUGCUGUUUUCAGUCCUGGCCGUUUUAUCAUACUACGUCUUGUCUGGACAAAUGAUUGUACUCCAAAGUAUCGACUUUUUCGUUUAUAGGGGUUUGACUGUAUUGAAAAUAGCGUGUUCAACCAGGUUCAAUUGCUAAACUAUUUACUGUAAGGACUGUUAAAAAUGACUAUGGUCAGUUGAGAACUAUAAAAGACAAAAUACAUUUACUGAAAAGGCAUGAUAUUGCAAUAAUUCAUGCAAUUUACGAUAAGAUGGAUUUGUGUUUAACUGACGUAAAUGUCCUAAACUAUAAUUUAAUACCAAAAGGUGACACUGAUAAACCCUGUAAGCUGUGGACACACCGUGCUGAUGUGGUAUUGCAGAGAUGCACAUAUUAUUCAGCUCACUCCACAUCUGGUUUUUCAGUGUGACCGAUCACAUCAAGCAUUACGCGGGCCCAAGAGUUAUACAGGAAGAAUGAGGAUACAUCAGUAUGAGACUCUCACAAGACAUUUAUCAAUUCAAGCAUGUUCUUGCCAUUCAUGGUAUACAGUUAGUUCACAAAGGUUAACUUUAUAGUAAAUUCCAUUACAACAGCUCAGCAUCGCCAGCCCCUCGUAUAUAUAAGACCAUGAAAGCCUUAUGUAUUUUGCCUUAAUUUCCCCAGCCUCUGAAUGGCCGCACUUCUCAUGCUACCUUCGUGUGAUUAAUACCCUGAAUUAAUAAUGCUCUCUACAUUUGGAAUUUAUGCUUUGGAAUUCGAUGCAAAAGCAGCAGUGAUAUAUAAAAUUAUAUAUACUACAACCCCCGCGCCCAAAGUCAAAUAAAAGUAAUCGUAAUCAUCAUCCCGCUUGUCCCCUCAAGGGAAGAGGAGCUAGACUUGACACCCUUGGCCACUCCACAAUAUCCAGUCCACAUCCACCACUUUACCAUCAACCUAACACAUCCAUAUAUGCUCAUUUUCCUCCAGUCUCUUUGCGUGGUCAUACCAUCCCAGUCUACGCUCCCAUACAUUACUUACUCACUCUCUCACUCUCUCACUCACUCACUCACUCACUCACUCUCUCUCUCACUCUCUCACUCACUCUCUCACUCUCUCACUCUCUCACUCUCUC